Microcebus murinus (gray mouse lemur) is the source of this 72-nucleotide small nucleolar RNA. The record is from Ensembl. Lineage: Eukaryota; Metazoa; Chordata; Mammalia; Primates; Cheirogaleidae.
UGGAUCGAUGAUGACUACUGGUGGCGUAUGAGGGUGAUACGGUGAAUACGUCUCUGGAACGCUGAGGUCCAU